This 245-nucleotide ribosomal RNA is filed under the name Desulfobacter latus. RNAcentral describes it as "partial 16S ribosomal RNA". It matches the Rfam family "Bacterial small subunit ribosomal RNA", at positions 1314 to 1533 of the family's 1533-position model. Lineage: Bacteria; Pseudomonadati; Thermodesulfobacteriota; Desulfobacteria; Desulfobacterales; Desulfobacteraceae. The record is from RNAcentral.
GACCCCAUGAAGUUGGAAUCGCUAGUAAUCGCGGAUCAGCAUGCCGCGGUGAAUAUGUUCCCGGGCCUUGUACACACCGCCCGUCACACCAUGGAAGUUGAUUAUACCCGACGUCGCUGGGCUAACUUCCCUUUCUUUAUAGAUUGGGCAGGGGCAGGCGCCUAAGGUACGGUCGAUAACUGGGGUGAAGUCGUAACAAGGUAGCCGUUGAGGAAUCAGCGGCUGGAUCACCUCCUUUCAAAGGA